AGAGUUUGAUCCUGGCUCAGAUUGAACGCUGGCGGCAUGCUUUACACAUGCAAGUCGAACGGCAGCGGGGGCUUCGGCCUGCCGGCGAGUGGCGAACGGGCGAGUAAUGCAUCGGAACGUGCCCAGUCAUGGGGGAUAACUACGCGAAAGCGUAGCUAAUACCGCAUACGCCCUGAGGGGGAAAGCGGGGGAUCGCAAGACCUCGCGUGAUUGGAGCGGCCGAUAUCGGAUUAGCUAGUUGGUGGGGUAAAGGCCUACCAAGGCGACGAUCCGUAGCGGGUCUGAGAGGAUGAUCCGCCACACUGGGACUGAGACACGGCCCAGACUCCUACGGGAGGCAGCAGUGGGGAAUUUUGGACAAUGGGGGCAACCCUGAUCCUGCCAUGCCGCGUGAGUGAAGAAGGCCUUCGGGUU
Molecule: ribosomal RNA, 414 nt
Filed under: uncultured bacterium
Lineage: Bacteria
Description: bacterial SSU rRNA
Rfam family: Bacterial small subunit ribosomal RNA
Source: RNAcentral